Molecule: RNA transcript, 1330 nt
Organism: Lycium barbarum (goji berry)
Lineage: Eukaryota; Viridiplantae; Streptophyta; Magnoliopsida; Solanales; Solanaceae
Exons: 6
Source: RefSeq, a predicted model, not a curated record
UCUCUCAAAGUUAGCCUUAAAAUCCUAGAAAAUCAAAAACAGAGUAACUGAACUCGAUGCUAUUAUUCCAGGCUACAGAAGCUGGAAAUCACAACUGAUUACUGCCAUCGUCUACCUUCUGGAAAGAAGUGGAAUCAUUUGGGAUUUUCUCUAUAUUCUGCCAAAACAAAAGAUAAGUCGGUGAGAAAGUCACAAAGUUUGCCAGAUUUUGAUCAGGAAAUAUGACAAGGGGAAGAGGCAUUAAACGUAGUAGGGAAGGUCGUGGGGACAUGUCUAAUAAAGGAGGAGGAGACAACCAACAACUACCAAACACUUCUCAGGAGGAUGUUAGUGAACCAUCAACUCUUAUGUCUCGACAGAUUGUACAUACAUCUCAAGAUGGUAGUGCUCGGCCAACAUUUCCUGCUCCUCGAAGUAUUAGCGGUCAGCAAGAAAUUCCUACUUCUCUAGAUGUUGGUCGUCAACAAGCUCCUUCUUCUCAGAAUGUUGGUGCUGAGCAAGCAACUCAUGAACAAACACGAUCUUUUGGAAGUAGUAACCCACAGGAAAGACGAGCUACUCUUGGUGGCAUAAAAUCCUUGAAAGUAAACGAAGAUACAAGGAACUAACUGGGGAAGAUCUUCGAAGUGAUGAAUUGUAUAUGAAGACUCACAAAACAAAAAACAAAAAGAAGUGGAUAUGUAGGAAGUCAGAAAGGAUAUGGAAUUUAGUUACAAAGAAUAUUAAGGAGAAGGUUGGUGGAACUUCAACACUAAGGAAUGAAGGAGGUCUUGAGGUAGAUGAUGGAGACCUGGAGAGAAAUAAGACAACAGAUGGAGAAGGGGAAGGAGAAGAAACUAGCGAAGAAAAUGAUGUGAAUUUGUUGAAAACUAUACCAGAGGAGCAACUAUAGAAAACUUGGAUAGAAACAGUUGGAGGAACAAAAAAAGGAAGAAUAUAUGGUCUUGGCCUAAAAAUUCUUUGCUAGCAGAUUCAUCGAAUGCUAACUGUGCUUCCGCUAGUGCUCCUAAUCCUCCAAAUAUGCCUACCGAACAAAUUUUUUAAACACCCGAGUUUCAACAGCUUCUUAAUCGUGUACUGGAGCAACGUAUGGCGAAUGUGCGGGAACAUAUGCAAGCGGAUAUUCGGGAAAAUAUGGAAGCCGAAGUACAUGUCGUGGUUCGUGCUGUUGUGGCUCGGAUUCUUUUUUUCACUCCUCAACCACCACCAAAUGGCUCUGGUUCUCCCCCAAACAAAUCUUAGAUGAUUUAUGUUAUUGAUUUUUUUUAUUUAAGACAUGUUUUGUUUUACUAGCUGACAUGUUUUAUUUUACUAGCUGACUUGUUCUUCA